Molecule: transfer RNA, 62 nt
Filed under: Cobitis sinensis (Siberian spiny loach)
Lineage: Eukaryota; Metazoa; Chordata; Actinopteri; Cypriniformes; Cobitidae
Description: tRNA-Trp
Source: RNAcentral
AGGAUAAUUAAGCCCAAGGCCCUUCAAAGCCUUAAGCAGGAGUUAAAAUCUCGUAGCCCAUG